CGUCACAAUCAGUCACAAUCAGUCACAAUCAGUUGCAGUCAGUCACUUCCAUAUUAUUGGACCUUCUCACAGUCACUCUCAACACCUCAGCCAAUCACCUCUCACACCUGGAAUCCACCCCUGUUCCUUUGUUUGAAGCCCAUCAGCUUCAUUCAGUCACAGACAGUCACUGAACAGCAGGAUCACCCCACAGCACUCAUCUCUGGAAACCAUUCACUUUUUACAAGCCUGGAAACCUGGAAAUCACAGCAUCAAAGAGGACGCCUGCAACUGCCUUUGGAUUUCUGGAUGUCACCCACCUGAACCCACAUUGUGCUGAACAUUGAAUAUUGGUUAGGCUUGAACUGAUGGCGAGCUACCCUGGACCAAACUGGACAACCGUCUGACAUGUUUCACCCCUUCACCCACCCCACUCAUUGGCAGGUCUAAAGCCCCACAGCUUCAUCCCUUCCAGAAUGGUAAAAAGUCUAUCACAGGAGAGACCAACUCUAAGUACGUGGAUGGACAUAACAGUGGACAUUUACAGGAUGGAGACGAUAACAUCACAUGUCAACCAUAAAGUGGAAGGAUACAUACUAAACCAGUUCUGGACCCUGUGUUCUAACGUCCUGUCUGAUGGUCACCUGCAGGGUUCGGGCCUGCUCCAGGGUCGUGUUCCGGUUCAUCCAGGUCCGGUCCAGACCAGCUUUAACCUCCUCCAGCUGCUUCAGAGCUUUCUGGAUCUCUGUCUUUGAGCCGUGACCCGACCGGAUCAGACCCAGACCGAAGUCCUGGACGGAGUCGAUGCGCUCGGCUCGGGCGUCGAUCUCCGUCUGCAAACACAGUAGCAGUUAGUUCCCCGUUCCAUCAGAACAGAACCAGAACCAGGUCUCACCUUCCAGUCCUGGUGCUCCACGAUGAGCCUCUCAGCCUCGGUCCUGGUCUUGGGGACUCCUUUCUCUGAC
Long non-coding RNA from Amphiprion ocellaris (clown anemonefish), 944 nucleotides. NCBI's taxonomy places the organism in Eukaryota, Metazoa, Chordata, Actinopteri, Pomacentridae. The record is from Ensembl.